CCCUUAGAUGUCCUGGGCCGCACGCGCGUUACACUGAUGCAUUCAACGAGCUUAUAACCUUGGCCGAGAGGCCUGGGCAAUCUUGUUAACGUGCAUCGUGAUAGGGAUAGAUUAUUGAAAUUAUUAAUCUUGAACGAGGAAUUCCUAGUAAACGCAGAUCAUCAAUCUGCAUUGAUUACGUCCCUGCCCUUUGUACACACCGCCCGUCGCACCUACCGAUUGGAUGGUCCGGUGAAGCCUCGGGAUUGUUGUUCUUGCCGCUUUAUUGUGGCGUGACCGCGAGAACUUGUCUAAACCUUAUCAUCUAGAGGAAGGUGAAGUCGUAACA
This 328-nucleotide ribosomal RNA is filed under the name uncultured eukaryote. RNAcentral's name for it is "partial 18S ribosomal RNA". It matches the Rfam family "Eukaryotic small subunit ribosomal RNA", at positions 1470 to 1796 of the family's 1831-position model. The record is from RNAcentral.